RNAcentral lists this long non-coding RNA (431 nucleotides) under Glycine max (soybean). RNAcentral's name for it is "long non-coding RNA (GMAX_LNC003007)". The record is from RNAcentral. Lineage: Eukaryota; Viridiplantae; Streptophyta; Magnoliopsida; Fabales; Fabaceae.
UUUAAUAAGUUAUUGCCUUCUGCACAAUCUUGUGCUGUAAACGAGAUAACAUGACAAAUUGUCAAUGCAUACCAGAAAUUGUAAAACCAUGACAAGUUAUAAAGCAACUGAUUUUUCAAACGCAUGUUGUUUCGUAAUGGUACCCUCCCGAAAAUCUUGUUGUAGCAUCUGAUCCCAUAUCGAGCAUAAGCCAUGAAUAUUUAGAUGUCUUCAUCAACACAUGGCGGAAGACUCAGCUUUCUUUACCCACUUCAUUGUCUAAAACAAGUCACAAAAUAAUAAGAGGUGUCGUUCAUGUGAGCAACUACUAUUGCAGCAUCAACAUUGAAGUCUUAUGACCAAUAAAAUCUUCCCCUCAUGAUCACUCUUGCCUUUUGAUACACUUUAUCUACAUUGAAGGCAUAUUCAUACACCCUUUCCUUUUACAAAGC